Long non-coding RNA from Sebastes umbrosus (honeycomb rockfish), 269 nucleotides. RefSeq lists it as uncharacterized. Lineage: Eukaryota; Metazoa; Chordata; Actinopteri; Perciformes; Sebastidae. The transcript is spliced from 3 exons. The record is from RefSeq and is a predicted model, not a curated record.
AUCAGCUCCAGGUCCCCUCUACUUUCAACCAUGGAUGUAUUAAGAGAACUGGAUAUAGCGUUGGAGGUGGGGCCCCGUUCAUUCCUAUGAAAGUUGCUCAGUGGCACAUGAAGGCAAAAUGGCUGGACUUCCGCCUGGAAAAGUACUCGGAUCUUCCGGCGAUCUUCCGCAUCCAUUGGGCCCAUGGAACAUGCGCAGGAGCGUCCGCUCGGUCACAUGGCUCGAUCACAGGGUCCCAACGUCACGCUUUUGUCACGGCUUGCGCUGUC